GCGUGCCUCUCACCUAAAAUCAGCUGCGCUCCCCGCGAUGCGGUCUGCGUACUAGCUGGAGUCACCAAGAUCACAUACAGGACCAUCGGACCUCAGAGACAGCUCACACAGAGUCACAUUGAAGAUUCGGUGGCCUCCUUUCUCGUGGCUUCCAACUAUUGCCCUGCAGACGGUUCCCAGAAGCAAGAUCCACAUCUCUGACCAUCUCCUGGACACUUACUGCCACCGACUAUGUUAUUCUCAUCUUAAAACUCAGCUGCACCACUCUGCCGUUGUAGAAUGGCGAAGGCACCUCAGACAGUAGCCGGCAGACCUCCAGCGGAGUCAUGGCCUUGGUUCUCAGGGAUAACACUUCUCAAAGGAGGAGCUGGAAUCAGCGUCCUUGUGCCCAAAACCCUGCCCAUUGCUCUUGCCUGCCAUGUUUUCUUUCUGAAGGCCUGUCAGUCUCCUACUCAAACACUUGUAAUCCAAGCUCUUACCCAGUCAUCUGGGCCUCUCCCCAAUUUUUCCACAACUGACUUCUCUGACUUUCUGUCCCGUUUCUUCCUGACACAAAUAAGAGCUCUUACUAAGCAUUUUCCAUGUACCAGGCACUAUUCUAAAUGCUUUACCUGUAUUAAUUCUAUCCUCACAGACUUAGGAAGGAGGGCGCUGUUAGGAUUCCCAUGUUGAGGAAUGAGGAAACUGAGGCAGCCCUCAUUUCCCCAGCCUGCAGUCUCUCCCCUCCCCCAUCUCCGGGCUUCACUUUUCUACCCCAACACUGCUCAGCCUCUCUCUCUCUUCCAGCGGCUCUGCUCUGACUCCCCGGAGCAUCCAGCUGUCUUUCCCCUCCCCCUAUGCAGCUUGGCACGAUGUCUGUCCUGCUUUGUGUUGCUUGUUUUGGUGCCUGUGUCCCAUCCCCAUGGUCCCAGGUGCUCCUUCCGGAGUGUUCCCCAUGCCUUUGCUCCCUGGGGGCGUCCACACAGCACGCUCACCUCCCUUCUGUCUGGUCCUUCUGCUCGGAGCUGGUAAGCAAGCACCCCACCGCACAGGGACACCUGGGCCUGAGCACGGAGCUGAGGCCAGAUGGUGACGGAGAGGACGGGGGCAGCUGACCGAUUCAGACUGCUCUGAGAGGAGCUUUCGGGUCCGGCUGAUGGUUGAGUGUGACUGAGUCCCUUGCCUGCUACACAGGGUCUCGGGCUUGCCUCCAGGCUAGGGAAGGAUUUCCUCUGGGCUCCAUGGAUCUAGGCACCCCCAGUCAGCCUCGCUCCUUCUCCUCCCCCACUUAGGCCUGACCUUCACCAAGACAAGCCUGAGAUCCAUACUCAUUUGGUUUUUUGAGAAUGAGUCUUCCUCCUCUCGCCCAUGUCGUCUCCAUGCCUGACAGAAGGUUACCUGCUCAUUUCCAGAUUCCUUUUUUCCUCUUCUAGCUUCUCUGAGUUUCCUGCCUCCGUGGAGACCUCUUCUUCCUUCUCCCCAGCCCAAUAGCCCUCUCUCCUCUCUUCUUCUUGUCCCAAGUUGCCGACCUAGGAGUGUAGAUUCUGAUCAGGGGCCUGCUCCUGGCUUGCCUGGACAGGUUACCUUCCAGCUCUGGGCCUCGUUGUUCACAUCUGUAAAAGGACGCAGCUGGACUAGACGGUGAGUGGUGUCCUGCUGAGCCUUCCAAGUCCAUUCUCCCUUUCACAGUCCUCCCCUCCUCUUCUCAGUUUUCUCUCUCAGGGGAGGCUUGCCCUAGCCCCAGGGGAGCUGUGGCUCCUGUUCUCUGUCUAAGCGACCAGCCCUGGGCCUCCUCCCCAGGCCUGGCCCCGGCUCCACUCCAUGUGGCCCGUCUGAGAGGCUGGCCCCAAGCCUGGCGGCAACUCCACAUUUCUCUGUUUUUCCUUUUUUUUCCCUCUCUUUCCCGGAGUUAACAAGAAGCAGAUGUGGCGCACGAUGGUUGGAGAGGUGGGGGGGGGGGGGGGAGGCUGGACC
Molecule: long non-coding RNA, 1953 nt
Organism: Enhydra lutris kenyoni (northern sea otter)
Lineage: Eukaryota; Metazoa; Chordata; Mammalia; Carnivora; Mustelidae
Exons: 3
Source: RefSeq, a predicted model, not a curated record